GAGGAAUAUUGGUCAAUGGACGGAAGUCUGAACCAGCCAAGUAGCGUGCAGGAUGACGGCCCUAUGGGUUGUAAACUGCUUUUGUAUGGGGAUAAAGUUAGGGACGUGUCCCUAUUUGCAGGUACCAUACGAAUAAGGACCGGCUAAUUCCGUGCCAGCAGCCGCGGUAAUACGGAAGGUCCAGGCGUUAUCCAGAUUUAUUGGGUUUAAAGGGAGCGUAGGCUGGAGAUUAAGUGUGUUGUGAAAUGUAGACGCUCAACGUCUGAAUUGCAGCGCAUACUGGUUUCCUUGAGUACGCACAACGUUGGCGGAAUUCGUCGUGUAGCGGUGAAAUGCUUAGAUAUGACGAAGAACUCCGAUUGCGAAGGCAGCUGACGGGAGCGCAACUGACGCUUAAGCUCGAAGGUGCGGGUAUCAAACAGGAUUAGAUACCCUGGUAGUCCGCACAGUAAACGAUGGAUGCCCGCUGUUGGUACCUGGUAUCAGCGGCUAAGCGAAAGCAUUAAGCAUCCCACCUGGGGAGUACGCCGGCAACGGUG
This 539-nucleotide ribosomal RNA is filed under the name uncultured bacterium. Its description in RNAcentral is "bacterial SSU rRNA". It matches the Rfam family "Bacterial small subunit ribosomal RNA", at positions 356 to 896 of the family's 1533-position model. The record is from RNAcentral.